CCAAAUGCUUAAGGAAUUUGACAGAUCAACUAAUGUCUACGUAUUUUCCAUAUAUUUUUUAAAUCUUCUAAAGUUAUAGAUUAUUGUUUGAACAAUAACAAGGUCAUUGUCUUACACCUUACAAGAUAACAAUGUUCUCAAACAAUAUUUUUAGUAUGAUAUUAUUUAUAUAAAUUUUAAUUUAUUAUUAACAAUACAAUUUUGGUUUGUCAAAACUCGAAAACCUCACAAGCAAAUAUAACGGAUCUACUGUAGUGGACAGUGUGCUUACUUAUGUAUGUUGGGCCUUUGAUAAGCAAAUGAAACUUAUUACAGCCCGUUGAGAAUCAUCGUGGUUGCUAUUGUAAUCCAACGACACAUCUAUCUAUCUAUCUAUAAUAAUAAAGUUGGUUUAUCUGUCAUCUCCUGCGUCCACGUCACUCUGGAGAGAGGAGCGUUUUGCGCCACGUGUCGCGACAUCAGAGCUCCUGCGAUUUUUGCUCCCCGGCACUCUUUGAUCUAUCGAAUAUUAUCUGGGCUUUUAUGACAAUAGUUAGAGUAGGCACAGACAUUGAGUCAUAUUAGAGACCCAUCCAAAAUUAGGUUUCGCAUUCCUCUUCCUAAUCCUCUUGCACGUGCAACCUCCACGAUGGAAUUCAGACUUUAAGCGCCGAUCCGAAUUUAGUAACGUCUCACUAAUCCAUAAAUCAUUUCUUUACUCCUUGAGUUUUUCGUUAUUACUCCGCCCACUUGAAGCAAUCAAUCUAUCUCUUCGUUUUCCACAGUAACCGUUGAAGCUUUGGCUAUAAAUAUCGGUCCUUCAUGUGAUGAUCAGUACAACUCAAACGAUAUCCAAAAGCGAUUUUUUCGUAGCAACCCAUCCGAGAAUGGCUAAUUCCUUCAUCAUUCUUGCGGAAUUGAAAAACAGGGACCAGUCUCUCCAAGGAAGAUGACAGGCUUAGAGUAUGUGAUCAGUGAUGCUACUGAGAUUGUCCCGACAAGAUUAUAUCGAUGCUGACGUAUAAUAUCGAUGCAAACAUAUAACAAGUUUAUAUUGAUGCUAACGUAUAAUAUCGUGGACGGUACAAUAUACCAGGCUCCACAGCGUUGUAGUGUCGUUGCAGCUCGUGUUGUAUGUUUCUUCAUCCUUUCUAUUUACGUUCAUGUGUUGCUUGGAGGGCAUAGACUAAGCGAAGGUUUUUUUGCUGCUAAAGUAUUUUUUGUUUUCUUCUCUUUCUCCUUUAAGGUCGGGCUGUUAUUAAUAUUUAGAAGGUUUCUCUGCAGCUGCAUUAAAGUUGGGGACGAUUAAGCAGGGUAAGAUUUUGCUUUCUUUAAUAAGUUGGUUCUGUCUCAGUUUCAUGUGAUGUAAAUAUUUUCUGCUACUAAGAGUUAGUUUCAAAGUUUGUUGCAAGCUCGACUAGCUAUGUCCACAAAACCGGACUGAGAAGUAUAUGUUUUUUGUAUGAACUGCAUGUAGAUGCAAAUGUAAAAAUACUUUUCAUUAACUUAGGAAGCUCAUAUCUGAACAGAUUUAAUUUAUCAAGUACUUUAGAAUCUGUUGUUCUUUGUUGUGAUUAACUUCAUCGAUCUUAUGAUAUGAUAUCUAUAGUUGUCAAUUGAUGCUAAAAACCAGAACAAGCCUUCUGAGACAAAGCCCCCAAUGGUACAUAAUCUUUCACACCACUUCUCUUCCGGUAAAUAUCUCCAAUAAAAAAAAAAAAAAUUUCCUCAGUUAGGUUUUAUGGGUGUGCUCUGUGACAGAGGAAUUGAAUUUGAUGUUUUUAGAUUCAUCAAAGAUGAUGUCUUCGUAGAAAUCAGGAGCAACACACCUUAUAUAAGAAAAAAAAAAUGAAUUGAACAGUAUCUAUGUCGAAGAAGUCAAGAGUUCUUUGAGCAACGCGUUUCUUCAGGUCGAUAUUGCUUUAGCAGAGGACCGCAACAGAGGCUCUUUUCUCAGGCUUUUCUUUCAGUACCUCGGCUCUUGCUGCCCUUAUUUUUGGAAGGUAUGUUUGUUAGCUUUGACCAAACCCAUCUUCAGAAUCACUAAGAUUCAAUUUUAAGUGAAGGUUUGUUUGCUCAUGAUUGUUGUUCUGUUUCUGCACCAGACACUUAAUGGUUGCAAAUUCAGCAGAUGGCAGAGCCGUUCUCUGUAGGAAUGGUGAAGCCAUAGACUUGUCUCGAGACCACAAACCAAUCUACUUACUGUAAAGAAGAAAGUCUAAGGAAGUGGCGGCUUCAAUGAUGCCAAUUACUUAAAUGGCAUAGCGAUUAGGACAUGUAACUACCACGAGGGUCACGAUCUCCACUCUUAGCAGAGCCAGGAGAUCAAAAAGAUACAUUUAACAGAGGAAGACAAGUUUCUAAUAAUGGGAUGCGACGAGAUUUGGGACGUUUUGACAAUUCAAAAGGUUUUUGUAUCGUUAGGUGUGAAUUACGUCGAUCACGAUGACCCAAUAACGCUUGCUUUGAGGUCUUUAAGGCUAAAUAAGUUUGAUAACCUAACAUUGGUUGUUUGAUUCUUGUCGGCUGAUGACAUAAGAGCAAUGGUCGCUCCUCCGGUGGAGGAUCAAUGGUGUUGUAGUUUUCUCAGAAGAGAUUGAGGGCCUUAUUUGAUGGUUGAAUGAAAAAAUAAUGACAUUCCCUUUUGUGUUCUUGGCUGAGCUUUUUCUUGAUUUUGUAUAUUUGGUGUCUGUAUCUAACUUCGAGUGUCUAUGUGCCCAAGUUUUGUGUAAGCGGUUAUUUGUUCGUGCA
Brassica napus (rape) is the source of this 2730-nucleotide long non-coding RNA. RefSeq lists it as uncharacterized. NCBI's taxonomy places the organism in Eukaryota, Viridiplantae, Streptophyta, Magnoliopsida, Brassicales, Brassicaceae. The record is from RefSeq and is a predicted model, not a curated record. The transcript is spliced from 2 exons.